This 315-nucleotide ribosomal RNA is filed under the name uncultured bacterium. RNAcentral describes it as "bacterial SSU rRNA". It matches the Rfam family "Bacterial small subunit ribosomal RNA", at positions 28 to 334 of the family's 1533-position model. The record is from RNAcentral.
GAUGAACGCUGGCGGCGUGCUUAACACAUGCAAGUCGAGCGAAAAUAAUUGAGAGCUUGCUUUUAAUUAUUUUAGCGGCGGACGGGUGAGUAACGUGUGGGCAACCUGCCUUUUACUGGGGAAUAAUCACUGGAAACGGUGACUAAUACCGCAUAAUAUUCUUAGGAGGCAUCUUCUGAGAAGGAAAGGAGAAAUUCGGUAAAAGAUGGGCCCGCAUCUGAUUAGCUAGUUGGUGAGAUAACAGCCCACCAAGGCAACGAUCAGUAGCCGACCUGAGAGGGUGACCGGCCACAUUGGGACUGAGACACGGCCCAA